Molecule: long non-coding RNA, 1471 nt
Filed under: Salmo salar (Atlantic salmon)
Lineage: Eukaryota; Metazoa; Chordata; Actinopteri; Salmoniformes; Salmonidae
Description: lncRNA (ENSSSAG00000118476.1)
Source: RNAcentral
CUGGUUGAUUGGCUGACUGACUAACUGGCUGGCUGGUUGAUUGGCUGACUGACUAACUGGCUGGCUGGUUGACUGGCUGACUGACUAAGUGGCUGGCUGGAUGAUUGGCUGACUGACUGACUGGCUGGCUGGCUGGCUGACUGGCUGGCUGGUUGUCUGACUGACUGGCUGGCUGGCUGACUGGUUCAAUGACAGCAGGUCAAAUCAAAUCAAACUUUAUUUGUCACAUGAGCCAAAUACAACAACCUUACCGUGAAAUGCUUACUUACAAGCCCUUAACCCACAAUGCACUCCAAUUCGCAUACCACCACAACAGAUCCACAGACGAUGCAAUCUCAAUCGCACUCCACACUGCCCUUUCCCUCCUGGACAAAAUGAACACCUAUGUGAGAAUGCUAUUCAUUGACUACAUCUCAGCGUUUAACACCAUAGUGCCCUCCAAGCGCAUCACUAAGCUAAGGACCCUGGGACUAAACACCUUCCUCUGCAACUGGAUCCUGGACUUCCUGAUGGGCCGCCCCCAGGUGGUGAGAGUAGGUAACAACACAUCUGCCACGCUGAUCCUCAACACUGGGCCCCUCAGGGGUGCGUGCUUAGUCCCCUCCUGUACUCCCUGUUCACUCAUGACUGCAUGGCCAAGCACGACUCCAACACCAUCAUUUAGUUUGCUGACGACACAACAGUGGUAAGACUGAUCACUGACAACAAUGAGACGGCCUAUAGGGAGGAGGUCAGAGACCUGGCAGUGUGGUGCCAGGACAACAACCUCUCCCUCAAUGUGAGCAAGACAAAGGAGAUGAUCGUGGACUACUGGAAAAGGAGGGACGAACAGGCCCCCAUUAACAACGACGGGGCUGAAGUGGAGCGGGUCGAGAGUUUUCAAGUUCCUUCAGUCCACAUCACCAACAAACUAUCAUGGUCCAAACACACCAAGACAGUCGUAAAGAGGCCACGACAACAACUUUUCCACCUCAGGAAACUGAAAAUAUUUGGCAUGGGUCCCCAGAUCCUCAAAAGGUUCUGCAGCUGCACCAUCGAGAGCAUCCUGACUGGUAUGGCAACUGCUUGGCAUCUGACUGUAAGGCGCUACAGAGGGUAGUGGGUACGGCCCAGUACAUUACUGGGGCCAAGCUUCCUGACAUCCAGGACCUCUAUACCUGGCGGUGUCAGAGGAAGGCCCAAAAAAUUGUCAGACUCCAGUCACCCAAGUCAUAGACUGUUUUCUCAAGUGAUACCAAGUCUAGGACCAAAAGGCUCCUUAACAGCUUCUACCCCCAAGCCAUAUGACUGCUGAACAAUUAAUCAAAUUGCCACCUGGACUAUUUACAUUGACACCCCUUUGUUUUUACACUGCUGCUACUCGCUGUUUAUCAUCUAUGCAUAGUCACUUUACAAAUUACCUCGACUAACCUGUACCCCCGCGCAUUGACUUGGUACCGGCACCCCCUGUAUAGAGCCUCAUUACUAACCG